UACAGAGGUGGCAAGCGUUGUUCGGAAUUAUUGGGCGUAAAGGGCUCGUAGGUGGCCAACUAAGUCAGACGUGAAAUCCCUCGGCUUAACCGGGGAACUGCGUCUGAUACUGGAUGGCUUGAGUUCGGGAGAGGGAUGCGGAAUUCCAGGUGUAGUGGUGAAAUGCGUAGAGAUCGGGAGGAACACCUGUGGCGAAGGCGGCCCCCUGGGCCGGCCCUGACACUGAGACGCGAAGGCGUGGGGAGCGAACGGG
RNAcentral lists this ribosomal RNA (253 nucleotides) under uncultured bacterium. RNAcentral describes it as "partial 16S ribosomal RNA". It matches the Rfam family "Bacterial small subunit ribosomal RNA", at positions 524 to 776 of the family's 1533-position model. The record is from RNAcentral.